AAUCAACGCUGGCGGCGUGCCUCAGACAUGCAAGUCGAACGUGAAAGUUCCUUCGGGGAUGAGUAAAGUGCGCACGGGUGAGUAACACGUGGGUAAUUUGCCUUCGGGUGGGGAAUACCAACCGGAAACGGUUGUUAAUACCNCAUGAUGCAGCGGCUCCGAUUGGAGACAGUUGUUAAAGCGGGGGAGCGGAGCAAUCCGUCCUCGCGCCUGAAGAGAAGCCCGCGGCGGAUUAGGUAGNGGUGAGGUAAUGGCUCACCAAGCCUGCGAUCCGUAACCGACCUGAGAGGGUGGUCGGUCACACUGACACUGACAUACGGGUCAGACUCCUACGGGAGGCAGCAGUCGGGAA
This 352-nucleotide ribosomal RNA is filed under the name uncultured bacterium. RNAcentral's name for it is "bacterial SSU rRNA". It matches the Rfam family "Bacterial small subunit ribosomal RNA", at positions 32 to 361 of the family's 1533-position model. The record is from RNAcentral.